ACUUGAAGUAAUCUGCCCACCUCGGCUUCCCAAAGUGCUGGGAUUACAGGCGUGAGCCACUGCGCCUGGCCCCUUCAGGUGGGUAUUGAGGCUUCACUACAAUACUAGUUCCCCGUUGCUGCCGCAAUAAAUUACCACACACUUAGUGGCUUAAAACAGCAUAGAGGUAUUCCUUUACAUUUCUGAAGGCCAGAAUUCUAAAGUCAGUCCCACUGAGUCAAGGUGGGAGCAGGGUCAGUGCCUUUCCAGGCUCUGCGGGAGAAUCCGUUUCCUGGCCCUGGAGGCGGCCUGUACUCCUCAGCUUGUGCUGCCCUUCUCGAAUGACUCGCGUUUCCUGCUUUCAUCACUACACCUCCCACCGCUCUCCAUCACCUGCUCUGCUCUUAUAAGGAUCCAGAGAAAUGGAAUAAUCUUAUUGCUGAUCUAUGUAAACAAGUUGAAGAAUUGUCUGAAAGAAAAUACAGUGUGUCUAAACUGGAAAAGUCCUGUAAUAGUUUGUUCAUGAGCAUUUACACAGUGGAGUUACUGUUCAUCAUGGGGGUACUGUGGACAAGCCCAGGGCUGCUGACAUGAAGUUAUGAAUUUAAGAUGUGAAGAUUUACAGCUUGAUAAACCAGCUUCAGGAGACAUGAUCUUAUGAAUUCAACACAUGAAGAUUUACAACUUGAUAAACCAGCUUCAGGAGAUCAGAACUUCUUAUAAUACAACUGACGUUACUCAGCCUAGAACAAAUACAACAGGGAUUGUGCUGCAUUCUGACUUGGAUUCUGCCAUCGAACACAGAAUGCCCUGAUCCUUAGAUGCAGAGGCAGCUCUUCAGCCUAUGGGGGCUGCUGUAAAAUAUUACAGGCAUACUUUGGAGAUGUUACGGGUUUGGUUCCACAUCACUGCAAUAAAGCCUUCCAGAUAUACAGUCAUAUUUCUUAUAUUACACGAAAACUGUGGAUUUAGUUACUCCACUCUGCCAUGUCUUUCCACCACUGCCUGCACAUUUGAGACCAAGGAUAGAGAUUGGGAAAAAUUGAUAGUUCUCCUGCCUCAGAGUUUGGCUCCUGCACUCUCAUUUCAGCCAUAGCUGCAGACAAAGCACACGAUUGCUGGGCACUGUGGCUCAAGAGAAGGAGGAGAUGCAGUAAGAAGAUGAGCCUUAAGUCUGAACGCUGAGGAAUUCAUGUGCAUCAGUCGGACCUCCUGUGCAAGAAAGGAUGUGGUUACUACGGCAACCCUGACUGGCAGGGUUUCUGCUCCAAGUGCUGGAGGGAAGAGUACCACAAAGCUAGGCAGAAGGAGAUUCAGGAGGACUGGGAGCUGGCGGAGUGACUCCAGCGGGAGGAAGAAGAGGCCUUUGCCAGCAGUCAGAGCAGCCAAGGGGCCCAAUCCCUCACAUUCUCCAAGUUUGAAGGAAAGAAAACCAACGAGAAGACCCGCAAGAUUACCACAGUGAAGAAAUCUUCAGUACGUCUUCCAGGGUCGGAUCAAAGAAGGCUGAAAUUCAGGAAGCAAAAGCUCCCAGUCCUUCCAUAAACCGGCAAACCAGCAUUGAAAUGGAUAGAGUGUCUAAGGAGUUCAUAGAAUUUCUCAAGACCUUCUGCAAGACAGGCCAAGAAAUCUAUAAACUGACCAAGCUGUUUUUGGAAGGGAUGCAUUACAAAAGGCCAGUCCUUCUGUAAAAAUCUG
This 1677-nucleotide long non-coding RNA is filed under the name Homo sapiens (human). Its description in RNAcentral is "HSALNT0341322". The record is from RNAcentral. Lineage: Eukaryota; Metazoa; Chordata; Mammalia; Primates; Hominidae.